Molecule: ribosomal RNA, 442 nt
Filed under: uncultured bacterium
Lineage: Bacteria
Description: partial 16S ribosomal RNA
Rfam family: Bacterial small subunit ribosomal RNA
Source: RNAcentral
CCUACGGGAGGCAGCAGUGGGGAAUAUUGGGCAAUGGGCGCAAGCCUGACCCAGCAACGCCGCGUGAAGGAAGAAGGCUUUCGGGUUGUAAACUUCUUUUAACAGGGAAGAGAAGAAGACGGUACCUGUCGAAUAAGCCACGGCUUACUACGUGCCAGCAGCCGCGGUAAUACGUAGGUGGCAAGCGUUGUCCGGGUUUACUGGGUGUAAAGGGCGUGUAGGCGGGUUGACAAGUCAGAUGGGAAAUCCUGCGGCUUAACCCUAGAACUGCAUUUGAAACUGUUGAUCUUGAGUACUGGAGAGGUAGGCGGAAUGCGUGGUGUAGCGGUGAAAUGCGUAGAUAUUAGGAGGAACACCAGUGGCGAAGGCGGUCUGCUGGACCGCAACUGACGGUGAGGCGCGAAAGCGUGGGGAGCAAACAGGAUUAGAUACCCGAGUAGUC